This is a long non-coding RNA of Coregonus clupeaformis (lake whitefish), 2614 nucleotides long. RefSeq lists it as uncharacterized. The record is from RefSeq and is a predicted model, not a curated record. The transcript is spliced from 2 exons. Lineage: Eukaryota; Metazoa; Chordata; Actinopteri; Salmoniformes; Salmonidae.
GGCCAUACUGACAGAGUGCCACAGUGAUGUCGUCAUAAUACCCAUAAAACCUAGCGGUCAAACACUGAAAUGGUUCCAAUAGUUUUUUCACCAUAGUUUUUUUCCCGUAGGGGAUUUUUCAAAUACUUCAAAGAAGGUCUGUGUUUCGUGUUGUCUUACGUUUUGAUAACCAUGUAAAUCUCUCUCGGACAAGGUGACUUACAGGCUUUGAUUUUGGUUUCGAGAUUGGUUCUGUUUAUGUGUUGAUGUACACUGAUUGGAAUCAUCCUCGUUGGGCAGGAUGUGUUGCACUGGUCGCCUCGUUAGUCAGUUGUUAGUUUAUAUUUAAAGUGCAACUGCCCCUAAAAAAAACAAAUCCCUUUGAAAACGGCCUAUGUGGCAUCGAUAUGAGUCAAACAUUUAUUGUAAUGUCAAAAUUGACUACAAAGUGUAAAUAGGAUCAUUUAUCAUAACGUCAGUUUCGUCUAAAACAGAGUUUGAAACCCGAGUGCGUCACAACGAGUAAAUGAAGGUUGGGUUUGGAAUACAAUUGUCAACAAUUCAUGCCCCUUUUUGUCAAGCUCCACGUACAAAUCGCUCCUCCGCCCACUUCGCUUCCCUUCAUUGAAUGGGGCUCCGUUGUUUCAUCACCCCCAACGCGUUCAAAGGAUCACGGCUGUUUUGAGACUCAAAGCCCUAUACGGAUUGACCAUGGCUCCGGUUCGACAAUGCAUGCUUCCAGCAGGAUGCACAGCCAACUACGGUUUGCAUGCUCUGCCAAAGUACCCUACCAUGCGGAAUAGGUGGUUGGAUUUCAUUGGUCCCCAAUGAUGGUGAGUAUACCGGUAGCUAGACCAUAGACUGCUGGUUUUGUAUCUGGUUAUGUAUAUUUUGAUAUUCAUUAUCAUCGCUAGCAUAGCUGACAUUGGCUGGCUAGCUAGCUAGCUACCUACCUAGUGUUAGCGUUUCAAUACAACUCGGAUUUGGCUUGGAAACACGAUAACAUUUUCAAAAGAAGGCAAAUAAUUAGUAGGAAAACCAUUUGUCAUGAUUGUGAUGUUGCCAGAUUUGACUUUAGAUGCAGUAUAACUUUAGCCAGCUGAGAUUGAGCGGACCGCUGUAUUUUAGCUAGCUAACAUUAGCAUUGCUAGCUAUUUUGACAAACUUUGCUAGUAACAGUAAUGGUAACAUUUCCAUCUCUCUAAAGUAAUUUUGAUGACAUAAUAUGGCAGAGUUGUUUCCUACUAAUUAUUUGCCUACUUUAGCAAUGUCAUCAUAUUUCCAUUCCACUAGAAGUUAGUGUAAUUUAGACUAAACGGUCACAUUAGCCUCUGAGGUGCAACCCAUGUCAAGGGCACAAAUACAUUUUUGAUGCAGCUGUGGUGGUACUAGCUAACUCAUGUCUGACUACAACAGUGUACUAACUAGUAGCAACAAACCCAAACCAACCCAGGGCCAUAGCAAAACAUGUCAGUUGUUUCCAUAGUGUAACUGCGUCACUGGCCUGAAUCUAUUCCAAUCUGGAGCCAGCCAGUCAGUCUACAUCUGUAAAGCAUAGAAUUAGCUAGUGACCCGAGUUACUGCCCUAUUGACACAGCCUGCUUCAUCAACAACGAUGGGUUGUGUGUGUUAUGUGAAAAGUUGUAUUCAAAAAUAUCCGUCUUGAUAAACUAUUAGGCUAAUUCCCCAGCCAAGCAGAUACAACUAGUAUCUAGUAUUUUGGUUGUGAAGUGCAUUAGCAAAAAGCUUUGUCCUUUCUUUAGAACAAAAUGCAAUUGACCACUUGGCUAAUAUAUCACCCUGUCACCACCACCUCAUAAGAUUGUCUGCUGCAGUUGUUCGAGAGAUGUCCAGUUUGCAGCCGAACAUGCGGCAUAGAGAAUACCAGCAAGGGGCCCUCAUCAGCAUCAUCAAAAUCAAAUGUUAUUUGUCACAUGCGCCGAAAUACAAUAGGUGUAGACCUUACCGUGAAAUGCUUACUUACAAGCCCUCGCUGUGCGCAUUCCUAUGAAUGGAACAGUCAUCGACAUGUUGGCAAGUAUCCGGCCAGCACCCUUCACCUGUCAGCGGCAACAGCUUUCACAGGCUCAUCAUUUGUACAAAUAGAGAAGGUAACCCACUUCAUUACUUUGAUAACCCAAUUGUGAAACAUAAUUUAUGUAAACUGACAUUUGUUGCUUAUUUUCUACUUCUUAGAUGCAUAUAAUGUGCAGGGCAUAACCUAGCCUGGUGGAACCAGCCUGAUCGCUGUGUUCAUCAUUCUAUUUCACUUCACAUUUUAUGAAAUCUGAAGGGAAAUAGAAAGGUGAACGCAGCGUUCAGGUUGGUUCCACCAGGCUUAUCAUAAUCACCAUUGAUAAUGUGAUCAGUGCUCUGUGUAUUAAUAUGUGUGUGACUGACCAGUAUCUUUGAAGGGCCAGGAGCUGAUCUAUGCUGCAAUGGGGCUCUGGCAAAGACCUCAUCACUUGCCUGCUCACCAACGGUUGUCGAUGGGGAGAACAGAGUUUGAUACCUGUAUGGAGCCAGCACUUGAGAGACUUUCAAGAUGAUGUGAUGGAGUCCAGACGGGCUUGAUGCUGAUGUCUGAAAUGGAGAGACCUUGCACUCAGCAAUAAAAUUAUACAAGACUCAUUGA